Molecule: ribosomal RNA, 253 nt
Filed under: uncultured bacterium
Lineage: Bacteria
Description: partial 16S ribosomal RNA
Rfam family: Bacterial small subunit ribosomal RNA
Source: RNAcentral
UACGUAGGUGGCAAGCGUUGUCCGGAAUUAUUGGGCGUAAAGGAUGCGUAGGCGGUCUUUUAAGUGGGAUGUGAAAUACCCGGGCUUAACUUGGGAAUGGCAUUCCAAACUGGAAGACUAGAGUGCAGGAGAGGAAAGUGGAAUUCCCAGUGUAGCGGUGAAAUGCGUAGAGAUUGGGAGGAACACCAGUGGCGAAGGCGACUUUCUGGACUGUAACUGACGCUGAGGCAUGAAAGCGUGGGGAGCAAACAGG